Gorilla gorilla gorilla (western lowland gorilla) is the source of this 537-nucleotide long non-coding RNA. RefSeq lists it as uncharacterized. The record is from RefSeq and is a predicted model, not a curated record. NCBI's taxonomy places the organism in Eukaryota, Metazoa, Chordata, Mammalia, Primates, Hominidae. The transcript is spliced from 4 exons.
UCUUCAGAUGAGACCACUGUCCCAGCUGUCAGCUUGGCUACAGCUUCAGGAGAGACCUUGAAUAAGACAUACCUAGCUAAGCUGUACCCAGAUUCCUGACCUAAGAAACAUUCAGAAUGAUAUGGCUGAGUAGGAUUACUCAGUGGCUUUUGAUAACACUGCAUUCAAAUGACUUGUCCUAUUGUUCUGAUUUCUAUUGGACCCACAUUUUUCAUUUUCUAUGUCAGAGACACAAAAAUUGGAAUCUUAAAGAUGAAGAGGAAAUGAUGGAAAACGAGAGGAGAACCAUGUGAUUAGACAUCUAAAUGGAGAGUAGAGAGGAAGUGCCAGCUCCAGGCCAAGACCUUAGAAGCCUGCAGGUUUCUCACUCUUACAACUCUGCCAUCAAUGGGGACACACUCAGACUGGGCUGCUGUAGAAACACAGACACGUGGAGCACAGCUAACCUGCCCUAUUUGUCUAAGUGGAAGCCAUCGUCGAUCAUGCAGCAGCUGAUCCCCAGACCCCAAGCCCAACCAAGAACAGCAGAACCAUUUA